This 321-nucleotide long non-coding RNA is filed under the name Bos taurus (domestic cattle). Its description in RNAcentral is "long non-coding RNA NONBTAT022448". Lineage: Eukaryota; Metazoa; Chordata; Mammalia; Artiodactyla; Bovidae. The record is from RNAcentral.
UUGACUCGUAAUUUUUCUGUUUGCUUCAAACAAGUUACUAAGACUAACUGUGGUGUUUGGAAGGAAGUGAGACUACAGUGAUACUUUUUCUCUGUUUCUAAAUGCAGCCAGAGUCAGACUCUUGUAAUGAGGAAAUGAGUGUGGCUGGCUGUGCACAUUCGGUGGAGGGGAAGAGUGUUGGAAAUCAGUUUUUUGUAAAUUAAGGUUGGAAAGAGAUACUAAGGAAAGGGGGACAAUCCAAUUUAAAGCUGUUACAGUUCAACAACUUGUAUGGUCUGCAAGGAGGGGGCUGGCAUCUUAGUGCACAUGGUUCUACUUCUA